Long non-coding RNA from Calidris pugnax (ruff), 436 nucleotides. RefSeq lists it as uncharacterized. The transcript has 4 exons. The record is from RefSeq and is a predicted model, not a curated record. Lineage: Eukaryota; Metazoa; Chordata; Aves; Charadriiformes; Scolopacidae.
GGCAACUUACAGCAGAGGGGUGGUGAACAGCCAAAGAAACCAGGGGUGAAGGCAGCAUCUCUCACUGCAUGGCCCUUUCCAUAAUACGCUUCUGGGUGGAACAUAAAGGCGCUUCCAGAGGUUUGCCUCCUAGUUGGAGCUAGUUGGGGCAGCUUCUCCAGAGACUGAGAGAUGUCACUCUACUGAGUGCAGAGGCAGACUGAACUUGUGGGAGAUAGGAACAGAAUGUUCGAAAGGGAAAACCAGAAGGAAGAGGAGUCUGUGUUUGGGACUCUGGCGGUCACACCUAAUGCAGAAACAGGAAGACACAUGUGCCCUUACGAAACUUCAUUCCUGCAUUUCUUAGAUGGUCUGCUGUUGUACAGAUGGGAAAGCAUGUUUGCACCAAGAAUUUGUGAAUACAUAAACAUAAGCGCACUGAGAUGAGGAUUGUCAC